GGUUAAGCGACUAAGCGUACACGGUGGAUGCCCUGGCAGUCAGAGGCGAUGAAGGACGUGCUAAUCUGCGAUAAGCGUCGGUAAGGUGAUAUGAACCGUUAUAACCGGCGAUUUCCGAAUGGGGAAACCCAGUGUGAUUCGUCACACUAUCAUUAACUGAAUCCAUAGGUUAAUGAGGCGAACCGGGGGAACUGAAACAUCUAAGUACCCCGAGGAAAAGAAAUCAACCGAGAUUCCCCCAGUAGCGGCGAGCGAACGGGGAGCAGCCCAGAGCCUGAAUCAGUGUGUGUGUUAGUGGAAGCGUCUGGAAAGGCGUGCGAUACAGGGUGACAGCCCCGUACACAAAAAUGCACAUACUGUGAGCUCGAUGAGUAGGGCGGGACACGUGGUAUCCUGUCUGAAUAUGGGGGGACCAUCCUCCAAGGCUAAAUACUCCUGACUGACCGAUAGUGAACCAGUACCGUGAGGGAAAGGCGAAAAGAACCCCGGCGAGGGGAGUGAAAAAGAACCUGAAACCGUGUACGUACAAGCAGUGGGAGCACGCUUAGGCGUGUGACUGCGUACCUUUUGUAUAAUGGGUCAGCGACUUAUAUUCUGUAGCAAGGUUAACCGAAUAGGGGAGCCGAAGGGAAACCGAGUCUUAACUGGGCGUUAAGUUGCAGGGUAUAGACCCGAAACCCGGUGAUCUAGCCAUGGGCAGGUUGAAGGUUGGGUAACACUAACUGGAGGACCGAACCGACUAAUGUUGAAAAAUUAGCGGAUGACUUGUGGCUGGGGGUGAAAGGCCAAUCAAACCGGGAGAUAGCUGGUUCUCCCCGAAAGCUAUUUAGGUAGCGCCUCGUGAAUUCAUCUCCGGGGGUAGAGCACUGUUUCGGCAAGGGGGUCAUCCCGACUUACCAACCCGAUGCAAACUGCGAAUACCGGAGAAUGUUAUCACGGGAGACACACGGCGGGUGCUAACGUCCGUCGUGAAGAGGGAAACAACCCAGACCGCCAGCUAAGGUCCCAAAGUCAUGGUUAAGUGGGAAACGAUGUGGGAAGGCCCAGACAGCCAGGAUGUUGGCUUAGAAGCAGCCAUCAUUUAAAGAAAGCGUAAUAGCUCACUGGUCGAGUCGGCCUGCGCGGAAGAUGUAACGGGGCUAAACCAUGCACCGAAGCUGCGGCAGCGACGCUUAUGCGUUGUUGGGUAGGGGAGCGUUCUGUAAGCCUGUGAAGGUGUGCUGUGAGGUAUGCUGGAGGUAUCAGAAGUGCGAAUGCUGACAUAAGUAACGAUAAAGCGGGUGAAAAGCCCGCUCGCCGGAAGACCAAGGGUUCCUGUCCAACGUUAAUCGGGGCAGGGUGAGUCGACCCCUAAGGCGAGGCCGAAAGGCGUAGUCGAUGGGAAACAGGUUAAUAUUCCUGUACUUGGUGUUACUGCGAAGGGGGGACGGAGAAGGCUAUGUUGGCCGGGCGACGGUUGUCCCGGUUUAAGCGUGUAGGCUGGUUUUCCAGGCAAAUCCGGAAAAUCAAGGCCGAGGCGUGAUGACGAGGCACUACGGUGCUGAAGCAACAAAUGCCCUGCUUCCAGGAAAAGCCUCUAAGCAUCAGGUAACAUCAAAUCGUACCCCAAACCGACACAGGUGGUCAGGUAGAGAAUACCAAGGCGCUUGAGAGAACUCGGGUGAAGGAACUAGGCAAAAUGGUGCCGUAACUUCGGGAGAAGGCACGCUGAUACGUAGGUGAAGCGACUUGCUCGUGGAGCUGAAAUCAGUCGAAGAUACCAGCUGGCUGCAACUGUUUAUUAAAAACACAGCACUGUGCAAACACGAAAGUGGACGUAUACGGUGUGACGCCUGCCCGGUGCCGGAAGGUUAAUUGAUGGGGUUAGCGCAAGCGAAGCUCUUGAUCGAAGCCCCGGUAAACGGCGGCCGUAACUAUAACGGUCCUAAGGUAGCGAAAUUCCUUGUCGGGUAAGUUCCGACCUGCACGAAUGGCGUAAUGAUGGCCAGGCUGUCUCCACCCGAGACUCAGUGAAAUUGAACUCGCUGUGAAGAUGCAGUGUACCCGCGGCAAGACGGAAAGACCCCGUGAACCUUUACUAUAGCUUGACACUGAACAUUGAGCCUUGAUGUGUAGGAUAGGUGGGAGGCUUUGAAGUGUGGACGCCAGUCUGCAUGGAGCCGACCUUGAAAUACCACCCUUUAAUGUUUGAUGUUCUAACGUGGACCCGUAAUCCGGGUUGCGGACAGUGUCUGGUGGGUAGUUUGACUGGGGCGGUCUCCUCCUAAAGAGUAACGGAGGAGCACGAAGGUUGGCUAAUCCUGGUCGGACAUCAGGAGGUUAGUGCAAUGGCAUAAGCCAGCUUGACUGCGAGCGUGACGGCGCGAGCAGGUGCGAAAGCAGGUCAUAGUGAUCCGGUGGUUCUGAAUGGAAGGGCCAUCGCUCAACGGAUAAAAGGUACUCCGGGGAUAACAGGCUGAUACCGCCCAAGAGUUCAUAUCGACGGCGGUGUUUGGCACCUCGAUGUCGGCUCAUCACAUCCUGGGGCUGAAGUAGGUCCCAAGGGUAUGGCUGUUCGCCAUUUAAAGUGGUACGCGAGCUGGGUUUAGAACGUCGUGAGACAGUUCGGUCCCUAUCUGCCGUGGGCGCUGGAGAACUGAGGGGGGCUGCUCCUAGUACGAGAGGACCGGAGUGGACGCAUCACUGGUGUUCGGGUUGUCAUGCCAAUGGCACUGCCCGGUAGCUAAAUGCGGAAGAGAUAAGUGCUGAAAGCAUCUAAGCACGAAACUUGCCCCGAGAUGAGUUCUCCCUGACCCUUUAAGGGUCCUGAAGGAACGUUGAAGACGACGACGUUGAUAGGCCGGGUGUGUAAGCGCAGCGAUGCGUUGAGCUAACCGGUACUAAUGAACCGUGAGGCUUAACCUU
RNAcentral lists this ribosomal RNA (2904 nucleotides) under Shigella flexneri. RNAcentral describes it as "23S ribosomal RNA". It matches the Rfam family "Bacterial large subunit ribosomal RNA". The record is from RNAcentral. Lineage: Bacteria; Pseudomonadati; Pseudomonadota; Gammaproteobacteria; Enterobacterales; Enterobacteriaceae.